Molecule: long non-coding RNA, 808 nt
Filed under: Capsicum annuum
Lineage: Eukaryota; Viridiplantae; Streptophyta; Magnoliopsida; Solanales; Solanaceae
Description: long non-coding RNA (CANN_LNC017412)
Source: RNAcentral
UUACUAAAAAAAAAAUCUUAUCCUAAAAAACUAUUCCAACCACCCCCACUUUUUCCAAAAAGAGGGAGAAGGAAGAGAACAACAUUGAAAAAAAAAAAAGAGACACAAACCCAAAACUUAAAAUAAAAAAGUGAAGAGAAACCAAAAAGGAAAAACCAUGUACAACAUAGACAUGCACAACAAAUAUGAAAAGAGUGAGACACAGAGAGAAAAUAAAAGAAAAGACAGAAACGGGUGACAAUCAGAAAAGGAGAAAAAUGGAAGAAAAAGAAAGGAAAAAGUGGAGGUCGGGUAUCCGGUUGAGUUUUCGGUCAUAGUGUGAUCAGAGGCGGACCUACGUGGUAGCGAGGGGGUUCACCCGAACCUCCUCGGCAAAAAAUUACGACGUAUACAUAAAGUAGAAAAUCUAUAUUUAUGUACAUAUAUUAAUUUUGAACCACCUGACACAAGGUUGUUGGAUAGCUUAGUGGUACUUUCUCCCCUUCUUAGGGCACUACCACAACCCUUGUCGUGGGUUCGAUCCCCACCAGGCUGCGGGUUCGAUCCUCACUAAGCUGCAUAUUUUUAUAAAUAAACUGUAACUAUAUAAAAAAAAUUAAGUCGCCUACAACCAUUAGCUAUUAAAAAAUAGAUGCAUACCUCACCUGCUAUAUAUAUAUAAAAAAAACUUUUUAAUAAUUUAAAAUAUAAAAUCAACAAAAAAACUUAAAACCCUUUUUUUCUUUUUCCUAUAUACUAUUACGUCCCUUGAAAUUAUAUUUUGUUGAAUAAUUCACAUAUUUAUAUUUUUAUUUUUCGAACCCCCUGA